CCAGAGCCUGAAUCAGUAUGUGUGUUAGUGGAAGCGUCUGGAAAGGCGCGCGAUACAGGGUGACAGCCCCGUACACAAAAAUGCACAUGCUGUGAGCUCGAUGAGUAGGGCGGGACACGUGGUAUCCUGUCUGAAUAUGGGGGGACCAUCCUCCAAGGCUAAAUACUCCUGACUGACCGAUAGUGAACCAGUACCGUGAGGGAAAGGCGAAAAGAACCCCGGCGAGGGGAGUGAAAAAGAACCUGAAACCGUGU
This 254-nucleotide ribosomal RNA is filed under the name Escherichia coli. RNAcentral describes it as "partial 23S ribosomal RNA". It matches the Rfam family "Bacterial large subunit ribosomal RNA", at positions 296 to 561 of the family's 2925-position model. Lineage: Bacteria; Pseudomonadati; Pseudomonadota; Gammaproteobacteria; Enterobacterales; Enterobacteriaceae. The record is from RNAcentral.